RNAcentral lists this ribosomal RNA (273 nucleotides) under uncultured prokaryote. Its description in RNAcentral is "partial 16S ribosomal RNA". It matches the Rfam family "Bacterial small subunit ribosomal RNA", at positions 524 to 798 of the family's 1533-position model. The record is from RNAcentral.
UACGUAGGGGCUAGCGUUAUCCGGAAUUACUGGGCGUAAAGGGUGCGUAGGUGGUUUCUUAAGUCAGAGGUGAAAGGCUACGGCUCAACCGUAGUAAGCCUUUGAAACUGAGAAACUUGAGUGCAGGAGAGGAGAGUAGAAUUCCUAGUGUAGCGGUGAAAUGCGUAGAUAUUAGGAGGAAUACCAGUUGCGAAGGCGGCUCUCUGGACUGUAACUGACACUGAGGCACGAAAGCGUGGGGAGCAAACAGGAUUAGAUACCCUGGUAGUCCCU